Molecule: ribosomal RNA, 468 nt
Filed under: uncultured bacterium
Lineage: Bacteria
Description: partial 16S ribosomal RNA
Rfam family: Bacterial small subunit ribosomal RNA
Source: RNAcentral
GACGAACGCUGGCGGCGUGCUUAACACAUGCAAGUCGAACGGAAAGGCCCUGCUUUUGUGGGGUGCUCGAGUGGCGAACGGGUGAGUAACACGUGAGUAACCUGCUCUUGACUUUGGGAUAACUUCAGGAAACUGGGGCUAAUACCGGAUAGGAGCUCCUGCUGCAUGGUGGGGGUUGGAAAGUUUCGGCGGUUGGGGAUGGACUCGCGGCUUAUCAGCUUGUUGGUGGGGUAGUGGCUUACCAAGGCUUUGACGGGUAGCCGGCCUGAGAGGGUGACCGGCCACAUUGGGACUGAGAUACGGCCCAGACUCCUACGGGAGGCAGCAGUGGGGAAUAUUGCACAAUGGGCGGAAGCCUGAUGCAGCAACGCCGCGUGCGGGGUGACGGCCUUCGGGUUGUAAACCGCUUUCGCCUGUGACGAAGCGUGAGUGACGGUAAUGGGUAAAGAAGCACCGGCUAACUACGUG